This 497-nucleotide ribosomal RNA is filed under the name uncultured bacterium. RNAcentral's name for it is "partial 16S ribosomal RNA". It matches the Rfam family "Bacterial small subunit ribosomal RNA", at positions 28 to 507 of the family's 1533-position model. The record is from RNAcentral.
GAUGAACGCUGGCGGCGUGCCUAAUACAUGCAAGUCGAGCGAACAGACGAGGAGCUUGCUCCUCUGACGUUAGCGGCGGACGGGUGAGUAACACGUGGAUAACCUACCUAUAAUACUGGGAUAACUUCGGGAAACCGGAGCUAAUCCCGGAUAAUAUAUUGAACCGCAUGGUUCAAUAGUGAAAGACGGUUUUGCUGUCACUUAUAGAUGGAUCCGCGCCGCAUUAGCUAGUGGGUAAGGUAACGGCUUACCAAGGCAACGAGGCGUAGCCGACCGGAGAGGGGGAUAGGCCACACUGGAGCUGAAACACGGUCCAGACUCCUACGGGAGGCAGCAGUAGGGAAUCUUCCGCAAUGGGCGAAAGCCUGACGGAGCAACGCCGCGUGAGUGAUGAAGGUCUUCGGAUCGUAAAACUCUGUUAUUAGGGAAGAACAAAUGUGUAAGUAAAUAUGCACGUCUUGACGGUACCUAAUCAGAAAGCCACGGCUAACUACGUG